GGAAAUGUAGUUGAGUGGCAGAACACUUGCAUAGCAAGCAUGAGGCCCUGGGUUCAAUACCUAGUACCG
This 69-nucleotide transfer RNA is filed under the name Fukomys damarensis (Damara mole-rat). It matches the Rfam family "tRNA". Rfam says of the family: Transfer RNA (tRNA) molecules are approximately 80 nucleotides in length. Their secondary structure includes four short double-helical elements and three loops (D, anti-codon, and T loops). The record is from Rfam by way of RNAcentral. Lineage: Eukaryota; Metazoa; Chordata; Mammalia; Rodentia; Bathyergidae.